Long non-coding RNA from Thalassophryne amazonica, 219 nucleotides. RefSeq lists it as uncharacterized. The record is from RefSeq and is a predicted model, not a curated record. The transcript has 3 exons. NCBI's taxonomy places the organism in Eukaryota, Metazoa, Chordata, Actinopteri, Batrachoidiformes, Batrachoididae.
AAUAUUUUAAUGCAGUCAAUUAGCGUAAAAAGUGGUACAGUCUCCCUGUUUCCAGGUAAAUAUUGUGCUAUGUACCUCAUAAAUGUUGAUCUUAGACAUCAUCUUCAUCAGUGUUUGAUGAGCAGGCUAACAUGUAAAGAGAAAUAAUGUGGGAAAUAGUUAGCUAUCUCCAGUUAGGCUAAACAAUGGAUCCCGCAUGGCCUAGUUUAAAUGUGGCAG